This 1246-nucleotide ribosomal RNA is filed under the name Strombidium inclinatum. RNAcentral's name for it is "partial Bacterial large subunit ribosomal RNA". It matches the Rfam family "Bacterial large subunit ribosomal RNA", at positions 5 to 1330 of the family's 2925-position model. The record is from RNAcentral. Lineage: Eukaryota; Ciliophora; Spirotrichea; Strombidiidae.
AAGUUAUUAAGGGCGUACGGGGGAUGCCUAGGCUCUCAGAGACGACGAAGGACGUGAUAAGCUGCGAAAAGCUACGGGGAGGUGCAAAUAACCAUUGAUCCGUAGAUGUCCGAAUGGGGCAACCUAGUAUUGUGAAGCAAUACUGCAUAGCGUUAACCCGGGGAACUGAAACAUCUAAGUACCCGGAGGAAAAGAAAUCGAAGAGAUUCCCUGAGUAGCGGCGAGCGAAACGGGACUAGCCUAAAGCUGUAAAGUUAGUGGAAGUGUUCUGGAAAGGCACACCAAAGAAAGUGAAAGUCUUGUACACGAAAGCAAUACAGUGGAAUUAAGUAGGGCGGAACACGAGAAAUUCUGUCUGAAGAUGGGGAGACCAUUCUCCAAGGCUAAAUACUCCUGAGAGACCGAUAGUGAACCAGUACCGUGAGGGAAAGGCGAAAAGAACCCCGGAGAGGGGAGUGAAAUAGAACCUGAAACCGUAUGCGUACAAGCAGUGGGAGCCUACUUGUUAGGUGACUGCGUACCUUUUGUAUAAUGGGUCAGCGACUUAAUCUAACGAGCAAGCUUAAGCCGAUAGGUGUAGGCGCAGCGAAAGCGAGUCUUAAUAGGGCGCUUUAGUUCGUUGGAUUAGACCCGAAACCGAGUGAUCUAGCCAUGAGCAGGUUGAAGGUGCGGUAACACGCACUGGAGGACCGAACCCACCUCUGUUGAAAAAGGGCGGGAUGACUUGUGGCUAGGGGUGAAAGGCCAAUCAAACUCGGAAAUAGCUGGUUCUCCGCGAAAUCUAUUUAGGUAGAGCGUCAUCCGAAUACCCCGGGGGGUAGAGCACUGGAUGGGUAAUGGGGCCCCACAGGCUUACUGAUCCUAACCAAACUCCGAAUACCCGGGAGUACUAGAUGGCAGACACACGGCGGAUGCUAACGUCCGUCGUGGAGAGGGAAACAACCCUGACCUCCAGCUAAGGCCCCUAAUUCAUGGCUAAGUGGGAAAGCAGGUGGGACGACCAAAACAACCAGGAGGUUGGCUUAGAAGCAGCCAUCCUUUAAAGAAAGCGUAACAGCUCACUGGUCUAAAUAAGGGUUCUUGCGGCGAAAAUGUAUCGGGGCUAAAGCCAUGCACCGAAACUGCGGGGUUCUUCGGAACCGGUAGCGGAGCGUUCUGUAAGCUGAUGAAGGGUAACCGCGAGGAAGCCUGGAGGUAUCAGAAGUGAGAAUGCUGACAUGAGUAACGACAAAGAGUGUGAGAGACA